Equus caballus (horse) is the source of this 1234-nucleotide non-coding RNA. Lineage: Eukaryota; Metazoa; Chordata; Mammalia; Perissodactyla; Equidae. The record is from RefSeq and is a predicted model, not a curated record.
UUAUUUCACUUAAACUGGAGUAUUAGUUGUUUUCUGAGAACACUAUGAUUUUCUUAACAUUCUAAAAAUGAGUUAGUGAAAACGGUAAAAUUUCACAACUAUUUGGCAAAUGUUCCAGGGUAAUUUGAUAGUAAGACAGUUGAAUGAAAAUCAGCUAUUCUCGUCUCAAAAAAAAAGAAUCCGACCAAUUCUUAUGCAAAUUCUUACAUCACUAUCAUUGUUAGCACCUGGGAAAGAAGCAGGCCUCACCUAUUUUAAAAGCUGCCUCCAAUUUAAGACUUCAUUUGCGAUUGGAAAUAUUCAGCCAAAUUUCUUUUCUCAUACUCUCCCUGACUCUAGAUCUCUUUUUAGUAAGCCUUCUAGACUUCUGAUUCAAGUUGUCACAAAUAUAGAUUACUGAGACUAAUUCUUUUUAUAAUCAAGCACUGGAACACAAAAAAAUUGAGUACAAAUCAGAAUGUACGUGUUAGACCCGGAACAGACUUCAGAGAUGAUCUCAUCUUCUGAAUGGAGUAACAAGAUCCUGGGAGAAAAGUAGCCAUCCUUGUGGAAAUGAGGCUCUUCAGCCGCUUUUAUGGUCACAAGAUCCACAAAGACCUUGUUCCCAGGAGCAUAUGGGAUUUAUCUCUUGUUACCCAAAGUGUGGUCCAUGGACCAGCAGCGUGGACACCGCCUGGGUGUGUUAGGAUGCAGAACCUCAGCCUCCACCCCAGCCCUUUAGAGUCAGACCGCAUUUUGACAAGAUACCAGGUGAGUCUGAGAAGCACUGUUCUGCCUGCAAUGGAGCUCUGCGGAAGGUCAGAGACUCAGAAGCACGGGAACCUCACUUGGGUUCUGCACUUUAUAAAAUGAAUCAUUGUUGCACAAAGCAUGCUGGAGUUUUUCUCUCAUUGAUAGAUGUUUGGUACAUGCAUUCUCUCCCAAAGAAACAAACUUAGAAGGUGUAACCAGAUAAAAGUACACACUGUGCCCAACUCUGCACAUUACUACGUAAAAGAUAAGAAGAAAAACACAAAACAGAAUAGUGGAUUUUCUUUUAUAAACUCCACAUCACCAUCUGACCUCUUGUUUUAGGAAUUAUACAAUACUGAAAGCAUUUCUGAUUCAUUCUAUAAGUUCUAUUAUAAUUAAAUUUGGGGCAAGAGAGUCCGGGAAGGCAACGACAUCGGGUAACCCUUUAGAGUUGUACUCCCAUGUUCUGCUUGACAAUGAGUACAUGGUACUCUUCUCUAUG